Molecule: ribosomal RNA, 484 nt
Filed under: uncultured Rhodoferax sp.
Lineage: Bacteria; Pseudomonadati; Pseudomonadota; Betaproteobacteria; Burkholderiales; Comamonadaceae
Description: bacterial SSU rRNA
Rfam family: Bacterial small subunit ribosomal RNA
Source: RNAcentral
AAACUCAAAGGAAUUGACGGGACCCGCACAAGCGGUGGAUGAUGUGGUUUAAUUCGAUGCAACGCGAAAAACCUUACCCACCUUUGACAUGUACGGAACCCUCCAGAGAUGGAGGGGUGCUCGAAAGAGAGCCGUAACACAGGUGCUGCAUGGCUGUCGUCAGCUCGUGUCGUGAGAUGUUGGGUUAAGUCCCGCAACGAGCGCAACCCUUGCCAUUAGUUGCUACAUUUAGUUGAGCACUCUAAUGGGACUGCCGGUGACAAACCGGAGGAAGGUGGGGAUGACGUCAAGUCCUCAUGGCCCUUAUAGGUGGGGCUACACACGUCAUACAAUGGCUGGUACAAAGGGUUGCCAACCCGCGAGGGGGAGCUAAUCCCAUAAAGCCAGUCGUAGUCCGGAUCGCAGUCUGCAACUCGACUGCGUGAAGUCGGAAUCGCUAGUAAUCGUGGAUCAGAAUGUCACGGUGAAUACGUUCCCGGGUCUU